Long non-coding RNA from Homo sapiens (human), 2763 nucleotides. NCBI's taxonomy places the organism in Eukaryota, Metazoa, Chordata, Mammalia, Primates, Hominidae. The record is from Ensembl.
GUUACUCUUUUGUACUUUGUCUUUUUCUUUUAUUUUCUUUUGAGCGAUUGUGCGAACAUAGCAUAGCACGCACUAUGCCUUCUGUGUUGUAGCUGCCUGGCCAGGGCGACUGGCGGAUAAGGUCUUGUGCGUGGCCUCGAGGCUUAAAAGUAGCAGUGGGGCUUUGUGAAGGACAAAAUGGCGAUGGCGGGCCGUGUAGGUCCCCCUUCCUAUGAUGAGGACCUUUUCACAGACCUGUACUGAGCUCCGUGAGGAUAAAUAACUCUGAGGAGAUGGGCCCUGCAAGCCUCUUGCUUAGCCGUCUGUUCAGAAAAUAGCGUUUUCGAAAUGCCCUGAGUUGACCUAAUGUCUUAUUGGGCUCCUGUCUGCAGGAUUUACGCGCACGUUGGAACCGAAGAGAGCUCUGUUGUUGCAAUGUUCAGCCCACAAGAGCUUACUGGUGAAGGAAUGGGACAAGACCCAUCUUUAUGCAAAGCCAGCGUUACAGUAAUGUUCCAGCAUCUCAUAAUCUAUCCUGGGGAAUUCAGCUGCCUCCCAGGGUGAAUACAGGUAUUCCUGAUGACAGUCUGCCUCUAUCUUACAGUAAGUUGUUUUUCGAAUUCUAUGGGCCUAUUAUCUAAUAGAUAACUUAGCCAUUUUGAUAUUUGUUACCAAAGCCUGCUUAACCCAUAAAGUUUUCUGGUUCCUCUUGUUCUCUGUAGUGAUGUUUCUAGAUAGAUGCCCACUGAUAUAUGCCCCUUUUUUCUCAGAUAGAUGCCCACUGAUCUGCCCAGGGUCAGACGAAUGCUUGUCAGUUGUAGCUUUCCAGGAUUCUGCUCCAAUGAGGAGGAAACAUCCUGCCUUACCCCUGUUUUAGCCUGGGAACCAGUAAUUGUGAACUCACCAGGGUUAACAUGAAGAGGGCAUGAGAGCUUAUUCCAUAAGGAAUUGUCUGAGACAUUUGGUUACCUUUUCUUAGUUUGUCCAUUAGCAACCGUAACUAAAAUAGUUUUGGCUGUUUGGGAUAAUUAGCUAAUUGAAUGAUUUUUUGAUUCAGGAGCAGCUUGUUGCUAUAUACCAUUGAAAAGCCUUCAGAGCUGAGAGGUUAGUUGAUAUUUUUUGUUCCUUACAGCUUAUGCCACCAAGUAGGCAGUUUCUAUGAUGAAUCAAACUAGCUCACUAUGACCGACAGUGAAAAUACAUGAACACCUGAGAAACUGGAGAACGCAGGGAGUGGGGGGUAACCAUGUCUGAGGAAUCUUUCACCCACAGCUUUGUUUUUCUCUAGGUACUACUAACCAAUAACCUGCUUGGCUCAAAGGGCCAGCACCUUCUCUCUAAAGCCCAAGAGGAGUUUGAGGUAAAUGGCUUUGCAAUAGUUACCAUCAAUGGCUGCUAUAUAAAAUUUUCUGUGAUUUUUGUGUGUGAUAGCACUGUGGUCUGGGUGAAUGUACACAGACAUAACUGGCUUAACCCAAAGUCUUUGAUCUCCUGAACCACCAGUGAUGAAUUGCUGCUCACCAGUGAUGAGUUGAAUACCGCCCCAGUCUGAUCAAUGUGUGACUGAAAGGUAUUUUCUGAGCUGUGAGCCUGCCUUCCAGUGACAUGUUCUAAAAAUUGCAAGUUAUUUGAGGAGGCUUUACAGCCAAUAGGAAGUUCUUGGGCUAAGUAGUGUUUCCUAUAAAAUGUGCCCUGAAACUUCUUUCUGCCAAGCAAUAGAUACAAUUGAGAGAUUGUAAAAUGUGACAUAGAAUGAAAGUCUCUCAAGACUACAUUUUUCUUUCUUGAUUUUGCAGGAAAACUAGGUGUCUGUGUUCACUCCAGGCUGAAGUUACAGGUGAGUAAACCUAAAUGUAAGGUGGACUAUGCUAAAAAUUCCCAAUGAAGAAACUUUCACAUGUCUUACUCUCUGUCCUAGUCCCAGAGCCUGUAAAGGUGAACCCACUGGGACUGGCUGGGGGAGAAGAGGAAGAUUUGUUCCAGAAGGAACUGUCUGAGGGAUGAUAAAGAUUUCUAUACAGAGAAAGGGAGUAAUCAUCACUUGUUGAAAACAUUGGUUUUAUUUUUUCCAGGUCUGAGCAAAUAAGGUGUAUAAAAAAUGGAAUCUGUCUUGGAGGACAUCAGAAGGUGAAUUUUCCAAGUUCUUGGACAACCUAGCUGUUGAAAAGCUUUCUGGGUUUGGGGGGUAUUUCAGAUGUACCUUAAAGUGUUAGCAGACACAGAUUAAGACACUGGGAGCCAAUGAAACAGCAGUUGAGGGUUUGCUGUGUAUCACAUUUCUGUAUUUUAUCACCCCCUUCCUGCAACAUUAUUUAUCUGGAAUCUACCUGCCCUUUUGUUUUUUAGAUACAAGGGCUUGGUUUUGUUACCCAGGCUGGUUUCAAGGCCAUAGCUUUAAGAGAUCCUCUCACCACAGAUUUCCAAAGUGCUGGGAUUGCAGGUGUGAUUCAUGGCACCCAGACUUUGCUGCCUUUCUUACAUGAUCCAGGCCCAGAACCCAAACUCAGGCACUGUAUAGAUGACCACUUUCGUAAACUACUGACCUAGCUUGUUGCCAAUUGUUGAUUGAACUUCCCAUAACUCCACUUCGUGUCUGUUCCUCUGUAUACAGCCACCUUCUGUUCCCGUCAUGAGCCUUUAGGUCUCCAUUUGCAUAUUGCAAAUACUAUGUUCCAUGUAGGUAGCUCAUUCAGGGCCUUGCUCUUCACUUCAAAAAAGGUUCCCUUGAGGACUGGCUGUCAAUUUGUGUUGCUGUGUUGGUUGUUGAUGAAAAUAAUAAAAUGA